This 253-nucleotide ribosomal RNA is filed under the name uncultured bacterium. RNAcentral's name for it is "partial 16S ribosomal RNA". It matches the Rfam family "Bacterial small subunit ribosomal RNA", at positions 524 to 776 of the family's 1533-position model. The record is from RNAcentral.
GACAGAGGGGGCAAGCGUUGCUCGGAAUUACUGGGCGUAAAGGGCGCGUAGGCGGGAUGGCAAGUCGGUCGUGAAAUCCUUCGGCUCAACCGAAGAACGUCGAUCGAUACUGCUGUUCUUGAGGGUUGCAGAGGAGACUGGAAUUCCCGGUGUAGCGGUGAAAUGUGUAGAGAUCGGGAGGAACACCGGUGGCGAAGGCGGGUCUCUGGGCAAUUCCUGACGCUGAGGCGCGAAGGUCAGGGGAGCAAACGGG